UUGAUUGCCCUUGUGAACGGACUCCUCUAUUUACCUACAGAACAAUUACAGCAUGGACAGCAGCAGGGCAAACUUCUUUUAUGCUGCCCCCUGCUGAUGUGUCUCAACCCUGUCUUCAAGGAAUCACCUCCAAAGAUGAGAGGAGUUCAGUCUCCUUGGCAUAUUUCCUGCUUGCUUGU
RNAcentral lists this small RNA (179 nucleotides) under Chrysemys picta bellii (western painted turtle). RNAcentral describes it as "TUC338 (ENSCPBG00000026792.1)". The record is from RNAcentral. Lineage: Eukaryota; Metazoa; Chordata; Testudines; Emydidae.